CCCACGCCACUAUGCUAUCUCUAACUCUGCCAUCCAGACCGAGCAAACGUACUUAAGACCUUUGUGUAAGAUCAGAAAAUCAUAAGACAGCAUUAAAAGUACUAUACAGGAGGAGAUGGAACAAGAUGGCCAAAUAGAAGCCUCCAGCAAUCAUCUCCCCCAAAGGAAUUGAACAACUAUCAAAACAAAAUUGAACAACUAUCUAAACAAAAAAAGUACCUUCAUAAAAAGCAAAAAUCAGGACAAUAUCAGAAUGGCACAUACAAGUGUCCCCAAGUCAUAUUUGGAAUAAGAUCACUUGGGAACACAAGUCAAAGAAGGACACAGUGUUCUGCCUCUCCUGAGUAAGCAGCAACAAGGCACCAUCUUGGAAUCAGAGGGCAGCCCUCACCAGACAACUAAAUCUGCAGACACCUUGGACUUCCCAGCCUCCAGAACUGAUUUUAAUGCCUUUUGUAAAGACCUGCCUAAUGGUUCUGCCUUCAGUGCAGACAAUAUGGAAGAGUGUGACAGAUGUUAUCAUUGCUCCAUUGUGUACGAGCGUAGGACGAUGCUUCUCUUCUGUCAGCCUGCAACU
RNAcentral lists this small RNA (577 nucleotides) under Pan troglodytes (chimpanzee). Its description in RNAcentral is "processed transcript". The record is from RNAcentral. Lineage: Eukaryota; Metazoa; Chordata; Mammalia; Primates; Hominidae.